ACUAACCUCCUGUACCCCAACUUCCAUCAUCUCACAGGGACCCCAACUAACCUCCUGUACCCCAACUUCCAUCAUCUCAUAGGAACCCCAACUGACAUCCUGUACCCCAACUUCCAUCAUCUCACAGGGACCCCAACUAAUAUCAUCUCACAGGGAUCCUCACUGCCAUCACCUCACAGGAACCCCAACUAACAUCCUGUACCCCACUGCUAUCAUCUCAUAAAUACCCGAACUUCUAUCCUGUACCCCCACUGCUAUCAUCUCACAGGGACCCCAACUUCCAUCAUCUCAUAAAUACCCCAACUAACAUUCUGUACCCAACUUCCAUCAUCUCAUAAAUACCCCAACUAACCUCCUGUAC
Non-coding RNA from Pelobates cultripes (western spadefoot toad), 361 nucleotides. The record is from the annotation of a GenBank genome assembly. Lineage: Eukaryota; Metazoa; Chordata; Amphibia; Anura; Pelobatidae.